GUGACGUCAACAUGCUGCGUCCCAAUCCUGCUCCUCCGCCCGGGUGAGCCCCGGAGCCCUGGCUUAGCCCGCGGUGAUCUCAUUGGUCGGUGCCCGCGUGGGCCCUUGAGUCAUUCAACAAAGGUUAUUAAUAUGUAAGUUAGUGGCAGCCCAGUGGGGGACGGUAUUAUACAAGUAUGGAAUUUUAAAAAGACUAAUUUGUCUUCUAGAAAUCAGUCCCAUCAAGGCUGGCUCCUCUUCCUCUACGUUACCAUACUGUGUUAUUCUGUCUGGCACUCCUGUGUUUUCGUCACCAUUUGCUUUUUCAUUCAUUCCUUCACUCACCCAUUCAACAAAUAUUUGUUGCUGGCCUUUUUUUUUAAUGCCACCCACGUAAGACGCUGAGUAUGAAACAGCACGAAAGAGAUGUGGUACCUGUUCCCGUGGAGCUAAAAUUCUAGUGGCUGAAACAGGCAAAUCUUAAAGGUUGGUGGUUCAAACUCACCCAGCAGCUCCUCAGAAGAAAGGCCUGGCAAACUGCUUCGGUAAAGAUUACAGCGAAGAAGAACCUAUGGAGCAGUUCUACUUUGUAACACACGGGGUCGCCAUGAGUCAGAGGCUACUACCUGGCAGCUAACAACAGCAGCAUAGGAUCUGACACAUAGUAAGCAUUUCUAUAAAUGUUGAAGGAAUAAAUGGAAUGGAAUGGAAUAUGUGCACCAACUAAAUAGAAUAACCAGUUUACAAAGCACUUUGUAUUUUUGGAAGUACUUUUCUAUACAUUAUUCCGCUGGACAGUCACAAUACUGUCUUGAAACAGUGUGAUUUAACCCAGUUUAUUAAAAAAGAAGUUAAUCCAAGUGUCUCAGAGAAGUCUAUUUAAAUUAUUUUUCUAAAAAUGAAAAUCCAUAAAAGGAAUUAUUUUAACGUUAGCUCUAAGGACUGUAGGUACUCACAGACUUCCCAAAGGAAGCAUGAAGAGGUCAUCUGCUUUGUACGAGAGAGAAAAUGAUGCAGCAAUAAAUGGAAGGCAAA
Molecule: long non-coding RNA, 1014 nt
Organism: Loxodonta africana (African savanna elephant)
Lineage: Eukaryota; Metazoa; Chordata; Mammalia; Proboscidea; Elephantidae
Exons: 2
Source: RefSeq, a predicted model, not a curated record